UGCGACAAAGGCAAACCCGCUCGAAAGACGGGGGCGCAAAGCGAUGGGCCUUCGGUUCGGUGCCCCCACCGGAUAACCGAUGGUUGCCAAGCUGCCGAAC
Molecule: non-coding RNA, 100 nt
Filed under: Fimbriiglobus ruber
Lineage: Bacteria; Pseudomonadati; Planctomycetota; Planctomycetia; Gemmatales; Gemmataceae
Description: c-di-GMP sequence
Rfam family: c-di-GMP-I-GGC riboswitch aptamer
Source: Rfam by way of RNAcentral